Cyprinus carpio carpio is the source of this 1439-nucleotide long non-coding RNA. NCBI's taxonomy places the organism in Eukaryota, Metazoa, Chordata, Actinopteri, Cypriniformes, Cyprinidae. The record is from Ensembl.
UGUCAAACUAAAUUCCUUUAGGGCCAGAGCCCUGCAGCAUUUUGUUCCAACCCUGCUCAAACAAACAUAGCAUGUAGUUUUCAAAUGAGCCUGAAGGGCGUGAUUAGUUGGAUUAGGUCUGUUUAAUUAGGGUUGAAUUUAAACUCUGCAGGGCUCCGGCCCUCUAUGAAUUGACUUUGACACCCAUGGCUUAGAAGAAAGAGCGAGGUUCUCUGUUCCCUUCUUUGUGGUUGUCCCUGUCUCCUGGGGGCAAAAGGCCACAGCUCCUAUGGAGGGCAGGUAACAUGACGUUUUAUGAAAAACUGUGAGGUUACAGGUAAAUUCCCUGAAUCUCAUCCAGCGACAUUGCGUUUAGUCCUGUGCCAUCCUUUGAUAUACAAUGUCAUAGAAAUUCCAUGCUCAUGCUGGGCUAAUGCUGAAUGAAUGCAGUGAUAGCAUCCCUCUCAUGUAACAUGUGGCCAUGUCCUCCUGAGGUUUUGUUAAGUUUCAAAGGCCAUAUUGCUGCAAUGGUUCGGUCCUGCAGAUUUGCCUUAUACGACGUUAAGAAGAUUAGACCCUUCUGAUCAGAGCAGGCCACACAACUCCUUGUCCAAGCUCUUGUUCUCUCCAGACUGGACUUUUGUUAUGGUCCCUUGGUGCGUCUUCCGGCACGUACUAUCAAGCCUCUGCAACUGGUCCAGAAUGCAGCAGCGAGAGUGGUCUUCAACGAGCCAAAGAAAGCCCACGUCACACCUCUGUUCAUAAUUCGGCACUGGCUACCAACAGCUGCUCACAUUAGAUUCGAGGUACUGAUGUUUGCCUGCAAGAUAACCAGUGGCUGUUCAGCAAUAUACCUAAACUUGCUGGUUCAGACCUAUGUCAAGUCAAGUCAAGUCAAGUCAUCUUUAUUUAUAUAGCGCUUUAAACAAAAAAGAUUGCAUCAAAGCAACUGAACAACAUUAAUUAGGAAAACAGUGUGUCAAUAAUGCAAAAUGACAGUUAAAGGCAGUUCAUCAUUGAAUUCAGUGAUGUCAUCAUGCAGCUCAGUUCAGUUUAAAUAGUAUCUGUGCAAUAAUUUGCAAUCAAGUCAACGAUAUCGCUGUAAAUGAAGUGUCCCCAACUAAGCAAGCCAGAGGCAACAGCGGCAAGGAACCAAAACUCCAUCAGUGACAGAAUGGAGAAAAAACCUUGGGAGAAACCAUAACAUUAAUAACAUUAAUAACAUACAUAAUUUAUAACAUAAUAACAUUACAAUAAAUUUAUAGAAAUCAUUUGUAACAUUAAAUGUCUUUACUGAGAUUUUUUUUAUCAAUUUAAUGACUCCUUUUUCAGUAAAAGUAUCAAUAUUUUAAUCAAUAUUAAUAUCAAUAACUUUUGAAUGGUAGUUUGUAUGAAAUCUAUUUAUAAAAUAUUGAUUUUUUUCUUUAUUAAAAUAUGGUUUUCUGGUAUUAAAAAUAUUU